UAUAUAUAGAUUUAAGGUCGUGCCUGGCUCCCUGUAUGCCACAAGAAAACAUCGAUUUAGUUACAAAAUCGAUCACUAGUGGCGUACAGAGUAGUCAAGCAUGACCAAAGCUUUCUUGAUAUAUA
RNAcentral lists this microRNA precursor (125 nucleotides) under Arabidopsis lyrata. RNAcentral describes it as "miR160b stem-loop (aly-MIR160b)". Its record names the gene aly-MIR160b. The stretch from base 18 to 104 matches the Rfam family "mir-160 microRNA precursor family". From Rfam's summary of the family: The hairpin precursors (represented here) are predicted based on base pairing and cross-species conservation -- their extents are not known. In this case the mature sequence is excised from the 5' arm of the hairpin. Lineage: Eukaryota; Viridiplantae; Streptophyta; Magnoliopsida; Brassicales; Brassicaceae. The record is from miRBase by way of RNAcentral.